This 660-nucleotide ribosomal RNA is filed under the name uncultured Actinomycetes bacterium. RNAcentral describes it as "bacterial SSU rRNA". It matches the Rfam family "Bacterial small subunit ribosomal RNA", at positions 232 to 885 of the family's 1533-position model. Lineage: Bacteria; Bacillati; Actinomycetota; Actinomycetes. The record is from RNAcentral.
CGCGGCCUAUCAGCUUGUUGGUGGGGUGAUGGCCUACCAAGGCGGUGACGGGUAGCCGGCCUGAGAGGGUGGACGGUCACACUGGGACUGAGACACGGCCCAGACUCCUACGGGAGGCAGCAGUGGGGAAUAUUGCACAAUGGGCGCAAGCCUGAUGCAGCGACGCCGCGUGAGGGAUGGAGGCCUUCGGGUUGUAAACCUCUUUCGCCAGUGAAGCAGGCCUGUCCCUUGUGGGUGGGUUGACGGUAGCUGGAUAAGAAGCGCCGGCUAACUACGUGCCAGCAGCCGCGGUAAUACGUAGGGCGCGAGCGUUGUCCGGAAUUAUUGGGCGUAAAGAGCUCGUAGGCGGCUGGUCGCGUCUGUCGUGAAAUCCUCUGGCUUAACUGGGGGCUUGCGGUGGGUACGGGCCGGCUUGAGUGCGGUAGGGGAGACUGGAACUCCUGGUGUAGCGGUGGAAUGCGCAGAUAUCAGGAAGAACACCGGUGGCGAAGGCGGGUCUCUGGGCCGUUACUGACGCUGAGGAGCGAAAGCGUGGGGAGCGAACAGGAUUAGAUACCCUGGUAGUCCACGCCGUAAACGUUGGGCACUAGGUGUGGGGGGCCUUUUCCGGGUCUUCCGCGCCGUAGCUAACGCAUUAAGUGCCCCGCCUGGGGAGUACGG